This 23107-nucleotide long non-coding RNA is filed under the name Daucus carota (carrot). Its description in RNAcentral is "long non-coding RNA (DCAR_LNC002942)". Lineage: Eukaryota; Viridiplantae; Streptophyta; Magnoliopsida; Apiales; Apiaceae. The record is from RNAcentral.
UCUUGUAAAGAUCCUAGAUAAGCUCUUGUCCAUGUGCUUGGGUACAAACCAAACCAGCUUACUUUGUUAGAUCUGGCCAAUCCUGGGAGGCAACAACGUGGAUUUCACACAACAAAACUUGUAUCAAGAUUAUGAAACAACAAUAGAUAAUAAGAUCUUAAUAUUUAAAUAGAGGUGACAACACAUAUUGUCACGUGAAAGCAUUGAACCAAGUGUGUAUAAGUAGCUCUUAAAAACUUCAUAUCAUACUGCUGCAAUUGAGUGGAUAGAAUCUUCUCCAGGAUGAGGAUGGAUGACAUCAACAUUAAAUAUAAUUGUAGGACGGUCACUAAAAACUGAAUGUGGAUGUGGACCCUGAAGCUGAGGGUCUGGAGGAUGCUGAAGUACAUUCUGUCUGGCACCAGAAUCCUGGUGCUCUGACCUCUCUCCCUCACACAGAAGUUCAGUUAACCUCCUUUCUGCCAUGAUGAUAAAUGUGUCGAGUGAAUACAUAUAGCAAAAUUAAACUAUAAGGAUUACAAAAUGAUACAUGACAACAGUAAGACAAAGCACUAUUAGAUACAGCCAUACAGGUGAUAGCUAGCAAUAAUAUGAGAAAACACACGUAAUUUGACAGAGCUUUCAAUAAAGUCAGCAAGCUAAUUAAAUACACAAAAACUAAAUAUUCUCCCUGCACGAGUAAUCAACUCUCGUUCAUAUGUAAGACAAGCAUAAGGAGCUUGCUAUUGAGUAUACAACAACGAAAGCAAAACCCAAAAGCGAAUUAACAAGAACAAGAAAAUAAACGACAAUCACACAAAACAAAGAUUUACGUGGUUCGGAAAAUCCUACUCCACAAGCCCCACUAAUUUUAUUGAUCUCUCACAAUUUGUUGUGUUGUGAUUUUACAAUUACAUGGGAGUAUUUAUAAGAGAAGAAACUGGCUUAACCAAAAUAGGAGUCUGACUUUGAAAUACCUAACUCUAAUAGGAGUCCAAUAUUUCUAACCAAAUUAUAAUCCUAUUCUGAAUCUGACUCCACAAACCCAACAAUCUCCCACUUGGAGUCUGACCUCAUCUUCACUUCACUUCACUUGUAAAUCUAGUAAAACCCAUUACUUUAAUCAAUAACUCAAACUAGUGUGGCGCCUUCUCAUCAAUCAAUUCUGAAGGCCAGUUGAAGCUAUGCAAAGUUUCAACUUUUCACUGGUAACCACCUUAGUCAACAUAUCUGCAUGAUUCUCUGAACCAAUGAUUUUCUUCAAGGACAAAGUAUUAUUUUUCUCGAGAGAAUUCAUCUCUUCUUCCAUGGCUGAUUUUCAUUGAACUGAAUCAUCCACUUGAACUGCCUUUGAAUAACACUGAGACUCUCCAUCCUCGAUCAAUAACAUAUAAUAUGCUGAAGGUGAAAAUCUUUGUGGUGGCUUCACAAUUCUGCUAGAUCUUCUUACCUCAGCCUCUAGAAUAACUGGAACAUUAUCUGCACUCCCACUAUUUCUUGCAAGAUCUUUUUCUGUAAUAUCAUCAAGCACCGCCUUCUCUUUUUCAGGUUGUUCCUUUGUAAAUUCAGAAUCGACUGCAAGAUUAUCCUUAUAUACUGCAUUCUCAUUAAAAGUAACAUCUCUACUUCUAACAACCUUCUUCAUUUGUUCAUCCCAAAAACGAUAACCCAUAUCAUCGAGCCAUAACCAAUGAAGAUACACUUCUUCGCUUUCGAAUCAAGCUUGUCCCUGUCAGAAUCUUUAACACGCACAUAAGAAACACACCAAAAAACUCGCAAGUGUGAAAAAUUUACCUCCUUUCCCUGCCACUCUUCUUCCNUUCAGAAUCGACUGCAAGAUUAUCCUUAUAUACUGCAUUCUCAUUAAAAGUAACAUCUCUACUUCUAACAACCUUCUUCAUUUGUUCAUCCCAAAAACGAUAACCCAUAGCAUCGAGCCAUAACCAAUGAAGAUACACUUCUUCGCUUUCGAAUCAAGCUUGUCCCUGUCAGAAUCUUUAACACGCACAUAAGAAACACACCAAAAAACUCGCAAGUGUGAAAAAUUUACCUCCUUUCCCUGCCACUCUUCUUCCGGAAUCUUGAACCCCAAAGGAACUGAAGGUCCCCUAUUUAUGAGAUACGCCGCUGUGCUAACUGCAUCUGCCCAAAACAUCUUUGGCAACCCUGCAUGUAAUCUCAUACUCUUGACCCUCUCAUUCAAGGUUCUAUCUAUGCGCUCCGCAACCCCAUUCUGUUGUAGUGUCUCUGGAAUAGUUUUAGUCAUUCUAAUCCCAUAUUCUGCGCAAUAACUUUUAAACUCAUCACUACUAUACUCACCACCAUUAUCUGAAAUCAAACUCUUAACCUUGAAACCAGUUUGAUUUUCAACUCAGUCUUCCACUUCUUAAAAGUAACGAACACCUCUGAUUUAUUUUUCAUAAAAUAAACCCAUACCUUUCUAGUGGAAUCAUCAAUGAAAGUGACAUAGUAGCGAGAUCCUCCAAGUGACGCAACUAUUGCUGGACCAUAUACAUCCGUAUGAAUUAGCUCCAACUUCUCCGCCUUGGGUGUCCUCCCUGAUUUUGCAAAAGUAACCCGUUCUUGUUUUCCAAGAACACAUGGCUCGCAGAAACCAACUUCCACAUUCUUCAGCUCUGGAAUCUUCCCCUUGGAAGCUAACAUCUUCAUACCCUUUUCACUCAUAUGUCCAAGCCUUUGGUGCCAAAAAGUUAAGGAACCAAUCUCAUCUGCAAUUGAAUUUACUUCACAGCUAGAUCGUUCAACUAUAUACAACGUCCCUUUUUCCUCACCGCGAGCAACAACAAAAUUCCCCUUUAUAACCUUCCAUUGUCCAUCUCCGAAAGUAACUCGAUACCCCUCCUUGUCUAACUGACUCACAUAUAACAUCUUCGGUCCAGGAAUAUACCUUAAAUUCCAGUCAGUUCCUAAAGAGGUUUUGAGAUUAAUAUCUCCCAUGCCCACAAUAUCCAAAGUCUCAUCAUCAGCAAGACAAACUUUACCAAAAUUUUCAGCUCUGAAAUUUAACAUAAAAUCCUUGCAAGGGGUAGCAUGGAAUGACGCACCGGAAUCCAUAACCCUGAUUCAACAGAACAUUCAACACAGCAAAUCAACGCAUCAUCAUUCACCACUUCUUCAACUAUAUUAGCCGAAUCAUCCUCUUUCUUCUUACCUUUAGGAGCUGCGGGAGCCGUACACUGAUCUGAAGUGACCCUUCUUUUGACAAUUCCAACAAACAAUAUUCUUGCGAUCUUUGGAUUGUCCUCUCUUCUGUGACUUUGACCAGUGACGCCCCUGAUUCUGCCCCCUUUCGGUCUUUCCGCCUCUACCCUCAGCACUCAACAAGGAACCUGACGACUCUCCUAAGUUUCUCCUACGAAUAUCUUCUCCAAGAAUCGAAUCUCGAACUCCAUCAAAAGUCAUCUUACCACUCCCUGAUGAAUUACAAAUUAUAGUGACAAAUCCUGACCACCUAUCCGGUAAAGUGGAUACCAACAAUAAGAAUUGUACUUCAUCAUCGAAUUUAAUAUCAACAGAUGUCAGUCUUGAUAGGAUAGAAUUAAAUUCGUUUACAUGAUCAGCAACACAAUCACCUUCAUUCAAUUUCGUGGCAAAUAAUAAGCGAAUCAGAUAUACCUUAUUUGAAGCAGACGGCUUCUCAUACAUGUUUGAUAAAGCCUUGAUCAAUCCAUAAGUUGUCGUUUCCUUGACAAUAUUGUAAGCAACGUUCUUCGCCAAAGCCAAUCUGACAACACCCAGAGCCUGCCUGUCCAAUAACAACCCAAAAUCUCUUCCAUUGAAUUUGUUGAUCUUUACUUCCCCAUCUUCUGCCAUCGCUCCCACUUGCCUGAAACCUCAGCUCUUGAUACCAGUUGUUGGGCCAGCUAAGCGAGCCUAACUCCACAAUAGUACGAUAUUGUCCGCUUUGGGCCUAGCCCGCACGGCUUUUUUUUUUUGCACCUCCCAAAAGGCCUCGUACUAUUGGAGUUGUUGUGGCUGCUUAUAUUCCAGCUUUAUGUCCCUCCCACAACCAAUGUGGGACAACUCCUAACACUUGCAACUCUAAUACACAAACUGAACACCCAAACACACACAAGUUGUUUACACAAAAAGAUAGUUUUAAUAAUCAAACAUGUAUACAAUCCCUUGCACCAAUUUUAACACUAGAAUGUUUAAAACAUAACAGCUUCAAGAAUUAAAACAAUAAAUAGCAAUAUAUCAAGAUCAAAAUCAGAAAAUAUGUUUUACAUGCACUAAUCUGACUAUCAAAAAUCCCUAACAUCAUAAUUUCAAACUUAUAUAUACAGAAAAAACAACCAUAUAUGGAGUAUGGACGGCCCUCCUUAAAAUAUUUGUACACAAAAAACAAUGGCAACAGAUAUAUAUGUACAAUAAUAGAUAGAUAUAUGAGCAUUAAAACUAUAAACCAUGUAAGCCAUCAAAGUAAAGAAUUGGUUUUGCAUAUGCAAGUGGAUAACCUAAUAUAAAUACUUCCCUUCAACUUUAUAAAAAAAAUUAUAGAAAAAUGGCCAAAUCGGCAAUCGCAUUGAAGAUGUAAAAAGAACAACAAAAUUAAAAUUUCAUAUAAUGAUUAAACGAACACCUCAAAUCAAUACAGAUCCAAGCAAAUACACUGUAAAAAACAUAAAAAUCGACUAGAUCUAACUAAAACAAAUACAAUCGGUAAAAAUUAACGAGAUACAACCGAAAACAAUGUAAAAUCUAUUUUAAAAAGGGGGCAUAGGAGACCAGUAAUGUACAUCUCAUAAAAUGAUUAAACAAAUACCUCAAAUCAAUACAGAUUUAAGCAAAAACGAUGUGAUAAACCUAAAAAUCAAGUAGAUCAUCCAACGAGACAUAUACAAUCGGUAAAAAAUUAAUGAGAGUAACCGAAAAUAAUGUGAGAGCUACUUAAAAAUGGGAGGACGGGAUACUAGUAAAUGCACGUCGACCACUCUUUGAUGGAAAAAUACUAUAUCUACCAACCGCACCACAGAGCCGCACACCCGCCUAUUUAUUUUAUAACAUGUUUUAAUAAGUUUUUUAUUCAUAACUAAAACACAUUUAAUCAUUCGUCUCAAAACAUAUCUCUCGGGCCUAUUUAUUUUCAAGUCUUUUAACGGGCCAAAUUAUCAAAAAUUAUUUAAUGCCCAAUAAAAAUACAUUAACCCAAAGAGGCCUAUUAAUAGCUAAUAAUCUUUUAGUUAAAAUAUGUAUAUUAUUCCAACAAAAAUGUAUCUUCAAAACAAAAUAACAUACUAUAACAUAUAUCUUAAAUCUUUGUAAGUUUAUCAUAUUAAGUGCUUCUUUCCUAAAGCAAGCUCAACAAUUUUAUCCACUAAAUUCGAGCACAAUUUCAAAUCAUAGCCAACUAACACAAUUAAUACUGCCUAAACUAAUCUCUCACAAGAUUGCACAUCAAGGUGGCACUUUUUACUUUUUUUAUGUAUCAGCACUGAAGGAAUCAAAACAUGGACUUGACAUUGCUAAUAAGUAAUAUUCUUUACACUGCAAUAAUGUUUCUCAAUUUCAAACAAAUAGUACAGCAAUAAUCAAUUUAUUUGUGGGUAUUAAUAUGAGUUAUAUUGCUUGCUAUGGUGAAGCGUUGUUAAGUUUCAAAUUAAAUUUCCAUCAUAUCUAAUCAUUUGCAUGUUAUUGGCAAUGAAAGUAAUGUCGUGCAGAACACUUAAGCAGUUGCAGAUGAGGAGUUGUUAAAGAUAUUUCAAGAGUAGGUAUGCAUAAUUAAUUAAAGAAGUGGUGUUGUAUAUUAGUUGUAUUGAUUAAUGAAGCAUAACAAGAAGACAAUGGGAUUUUUGUUAUGCACCAUAUGGAGAAUUGACUUAUAUGGUAACGUAAAUAGGUUUAGAUGUGGACUACCUAUUAAAAAUGUAAGUGAUGCGAGAGCGAGACAUGGGUUUACUUUAAUUUCAUGUGUUAGCAAUAGUAAGUGUGGCAAAACAAUUGAAACUGCAUUUUCUAACAAACAUGGCUAUCAACAUUUUCUAGUCGGUAAGCCGGGUAAGGUAUAUUGCUGCCAUAUCCUUACUUAGACAAGAAACAGUAAAAGACAACUAACUGCGGAUGGGGUAGCAACUUACAUCAUAAACGGAAACUGAAAAAUGAAGCAAUUGCAGAUGAUGAUCAGUAUAACGAUUGUGCAAGGAAACCCACAGCAAAGCUGCAUGUCCUUGAAAUUGAGAUGAUAUGGUCUUUAAUUUAAUAGAAGUUGUUUAAAUUACUGAGAUUCUGUUGAGAGUUUCUGAAUAUAUGAAAUAUUAGACAUAUUGCAAACUUUAGAGCAGGUACGGGUUUAGUUUUGAGUCUUUAACUAUUAUAUUGGUUAUGAUAUUUACUCCCUCCAUUUUUUCUACUAAGUUUUGGCACGCAACUUUAGAUGCUUUAACUGCAUAGUAAAAUUCAUUAUUUGCGAUUAAUUUUUUUGUGAAUUAAGAUUUUAAUCAUAUAUUUUAAUUCAGAAAAAUAAAAUUAAAAAAAUAAUAAUUUUAGCUAUCUGGUCAAAGUACCUAAAGAUGUAUGCCAAAAGUCAAAGCAUCAAAUUGAAAAAACAGGAGUACUUCAAGAUGAUUUUGAUAUAAUGCAAGGAUGCAGUUUCUUUUGUUUUGAUGUGUAUAAGUUAGUAAGUUUAUUAUGAUUGUUUUUUUUCUAUAAAAAUAUGAAAAACUAUGGUUGCAAUAACAAUGUUUGUGCUAAUGUGCACAAAGGUCAGGUGAUUAGAACAACAGGGGUACUGCUUGUGAUUAAAGUGAAGUGGCAUGACAAAGUAGUUGGUUAAGUCUUGAUUUGGAGUAUAGCUUUGUGUAUUGCCAUUAAGCUUAUCUGGAAUAGGUUGUCAGAAUAUGAGGAUGAUGAUGGAUACAGGGCAGUAGAACGUAGUGUAUUUGUUUUGACCAUAAUGAUAUGUGUGGGACUAGUUGUUGUAGAGAAUGUAAAGGACAAUGUCCCAGUGAAUGUAGCAAUACAGAAUCUUUGUAUACAACUUUAGCACAUGAUACAUCAGUAGAUUAGUCACAUGGCUAUGCUCAAAACUGGUACUUCAUUUUACAGUAUGAAAUCAGUUGACAUGGCAACUUAAAGCAUGCAACAUUUUUCAGAUAUUAGUGUACCACACACUAGAACAUAGAUUCAUCAAAACAUUAGUGCAAGUAGAUAUCCUAAACUUAAUACUUCCCUUCAACUUUAUUAAAAAAAAUAUAUAAAAAUGGCCAAAUCGCAUUGAAGAGUAAAAAGAACAACAAAUUUAAAUUUUUAUAUAAUAAUUAAACGAAAACCUCAAAUCAAUACAGCUCUGAGCAAAUACACUAUAAAAAACAUACAAAUCAACUAGAUCUAGCUAAAAGAAAUACAAUCGGUAAAAAUUAACAAGAUACAACCGAAAACAAUGUAAAAUUUAUUUUAAAAAGGGAGCAUAACAGACCAGUAAUGUAAAUCUCAUAAAAUGAUUAAAAUAAUACCUCAAAUCAAUACAGAUCUAAGCAAAUAAGCUGUGAUAAACAAAUAAGCAAUUUGAGAAUUUGAAAUUACAACUCAAAUCAUGUCAUUUGAAAUCCAUCGUUUCAAAUGAAAUGCAUGUUUCCAAACGGCCCCUAAGAUUAAUUAGAAAUGAGUGGCUUAGAUAUUAAAUAACUGAACGGCAAACUAGUAUAUAUUACAACAGUGGGACUGCUUGUGAUUAAAGUGAAGUUACAUGACAAAGUAGUUGGUUAAGUCUAGAUUUCGAGUAUAGCUUUGUGUAUUGCAAUUAAGCUUAUCAGAAUAGGUUGUCAGAAUAUGAUGAUGAUGGAUACUGGGCAGUAGAACGUAGUGUAUUUGUUUUGAGUAUAAUGAUAUUUGCGGGACUAGUUGUAGUAGAGAAAGUAAAGGACAAUGUCCCUGUGAAUGUAGCAAUACAGAAUCUUUGUAUACAACUCUAAGCACAUGGUACAGCACUAAAUUAGUCACAUGGCUAUGCUCAAAACUGGUACUUCAUUUUACAUAUGAAAUCAGUUGAUAUGGCAACUUAAAGCAUGCAACAUUUUUCAAAUAUUAGUGUACUACACACUAGAACAUAGAUUUAUCUAAAACAUUAGUUCCCAAUGGAAGGAUAGCCUAUUAAAGGACUAGAAUUUGAGCUGUCUAUAUUAAAAGAAACCACAGAGUUUGAAACAUGUCAUGAGCUAAUUAACACCAAAAACACAAAUCCACAGACGAAAGCGCUCAGGACUUCUGCAAAAUCUUAGCCACUAUAUAUUUGAUAUUAAAAACGUGGUACGGUACCAUACCUUCCCACGCAUCCCCUCCACGUCCACCUUCGACACAAAAAAACAAAGCCUAUUUGCUACUUUGUCCAUCACCAAAUUCACUGCAAAUACAGAUCAGCAAGCUUAAUAGCAAAGGCACUUAGAAUGUAUCCAAUCACAAACAUGGCCAUUGUAAAUAUUCCGAUUCAGACCUUUUAUGGGUUUCCCAAAAUUUAUAGAAGCAUUUCUCCUACCAUCAUGAGAAGUCCGAAAUGAAAGUCCUGUGAGGAAAAUAAAAAAAAAAACAUCAACACAUUCUUCAUUUGAGUUAAUUGGCAUUGCUUCAACUAUAAAAAGCGCUAGUAUGGGUGUAACUAUUCCAUUUUCUACCAAUAUAGGAAUAAUUUUUCUUUUUACCUCCUACUCAUUCUUUCACAAAAUUGAUCAUAAAAAUGGGGCACUCUAUCAUUGUUUUCACACUCUUCUAUUUCCAUCCACAGAAUUUUCAUUUAAUUCCCUUUCCAUUUUAUUCCUUCCAAUAAUAAAACGCAUUAUAGUUAUCAUCUAUAUACUAUUUAUGAUCACAAAUUCAAAGUAGAACUUAAUCCUAAGGAUAAAACAGAUAAUAUUCAUCUUUACAUUGCAGCGGUAUCUCUUAUGAACUCGGUACUAUCUGACCGAAAGUUUGCACACUAUCUCAUUUUUCACUCGUAUCAAUUUUCUUCGAUUGCAUUCACUUCCAAAUAAUUCAAAUUCACAUAUAGUCCAUAAUAUUCAGGCAUACAAAAUCUAAAACACUAUAAUAUUGGCUGCACUGUGAAAAUAAUUCCAUAUUAUGAUAUCAUCCAGCGAAAUCAAACAUACAACACACGCACAUUUAUAGAGAGAGAGGGGGGGAGGGAGGAAAAGAGAGAGGGGAGGAGAGGGAGAGGGAGAGGGAGAGAGAGUACAAACUAAUCUCGAAAGUCGAAAUGGAUGAUAAUUUGCAUCGAAAUCGAGUUGUUGAAAUAACGUUGCUACCGCCAUUUUUCCUGAUCGAGCUUGUAUCCUUAUAAUGUGGUGCUGGUGCACUUAUGCAGUUGUCCAAGUAAUAUCGAGUCAGGGUUGGGUUUUGAUAAAAAGUCCAGAUUUUUCCAUCUUCGAAUAUUUUCAUAAUGAACUAAUUUAAAAAAAAGUAAAUUUCGAACAAAUAUAUAUAUAAAUCAAUCAGCUUGAAGUUCUUAUUCUCACUAGCUUAUAACUCGUGCAACGCACGAGCGGUUAUAAUAUUUGUUAUUUUAUUGUAUAUAUUCUAAAUUUAACUAAUUUUAUUUUAAAAAUAAAAUUAUGAUAAAAUAAUAUAAUUAAGUAAAAAUUUUAUUUAACAGCGGAAUAAAUUCUUAAUAGUUAAGUCUGUCAAAUAGUAAAUUAAAAAUUAUGUCGAACAUAUAUAUUUUAAUGAGGAUGUUAAAAUAUAUUUUUUAUACGUUAUAAUUUAAGAAUACCUAUAAACCCAGAUAUAUAUCAACCAAUCAAAAUAUCGUUAUUAAUGAUUAAUAAUAUCGUAUAGAAUAUAUUAUAAGUUAAAAAGACGCGUAAAUCUAAAUAUCGACCCAUCAUACUGAUCUAAUUUACAAUAUUUUAGUCUAAUUGGAAAAUAAAAAAUAUACUAUAAUAUGUUAUAAAUUAAGGAGGUCUGGGUCGAAUACCAACCGGUUCGCCAAACUCGACAGACCGACCAACUGAACUUUUCAUAUUUCGACUUAAGUGAUAUAAUAAUAUAAGUAUAGUAUAGCUUUAUAAUAUUACUUUUAAAGUGAGACUAUUAGAGUAUUUAAAAUAAUGUCAAUGUAUUUUAAUUGAAAAAUAUCACCGGUUAUUUAUUAAUAAUUAUAUAUAAUGAUAUUAUAGUUUUAUGUAUGUGCCGCCCGUGUUAACUGUAGAAGAUCUGUCUUUUUAAGUUAGAAAAUCUAAAAAAGGAUAAUGUGUUUCAGUUAUAAAGAUAAUUACUAUGUUAUUCUAUGUUAUUUUAGAAGAUUGAGUUAUUUUAGUUAGAAAAUAUAAAGAAGAUAAUCUAUAUUAGUUAAAAAGAAUAAUUUGUUAUAUAGAUAGGCUGUAUUUCGGCCCAUGUAUCGACUAAUGUUUUACUUAUAAUAAUAUAGUAUAAAUAUAUAAUAAUAUUGUCUUUUUUAUACGUAUGUUUCAUGUGUUAUAUUUAGAAAAAUCCGUUUUUAGUUAGGAAUGUGAAAAUGAUAACGUGUUUUAGUUCGAAUGGGUAAUUUCAUCAUGUUGUCUAAUAUUAUUUUAGAAAAUUGAGUUUUUCUAGUUAGAAAAUAUAAAAAAGAUAAUAGUUUAGUUAAAAAGGAUGCUUGAUUAUAUAGAUAGACCCAUAACUCAGCCCAAGUACCGACCAACCAAAUUUUUAAUGUUUCAACUUUAAUCUUGUUCUCGUAUGAGUAGAAAUAUUCAGAUUUAUUCAUUUUCAAAUUAUUUUAAAAUCAAGAUUUUCUUUAAUAUAUGAAUAUUUUAAAUUUUGGAUCGAGUACACGUGUAUAUAUAAAAGAUCCAGAUUUGAAUUCUAAUUCUGACAACGAUUAAAAUGUACAAAGUUCACUUGAAAAUAUCAAAGGUGCAUUCCAGGCACCAAACGUUUGCAAUAUAUAGGCCAUGCUAGCUACAUAAUUAUUUGCAUGCUAAUAAUUAAUAGGUAAUUGUAUUUUAUUUUAUCUUAGCCUUUUUGUAAAUAUAAUCUUCCAUUUUCCACAUUUACUAAAAACGCUCAUGUACUCUCUUAAUUUUAAUGGAACAAACUCCUAGCACCAAGAAACUAAAUAAAUAUCUUAAAUUAAACAAACUAAUAGAAAAAAGAUUUCGGGUGUUGCUAAAUGCAAUAAAAAUUUACUUUGUGCAGUAACGAGUAAUUACAUCUAAACCCUUCUCACCAUUAAAUGGUUCACGAUCCGAUAAGUCUCUGUAUCGAAUGUUUCUUGCUAAAUCAGUAGGACCGGUGACUAUUACAAUCUUAAACUAACCUGAACACAAAUAUAAAGUUUACUGAGUUUCUUGGCAUUAUCUUACGAUCAAAUACAAAUAUUUUUACAAAACAAAUCAAAAUAUUCCUACACAAAACAAUUCAACAAAUUCCUAAGCAGAAGUAUGCAUAAUCAUAUAAUUUGAAUUAAAAUUAUAGUAUAUAAUAAAUUAAAUAAAACUUAAGUAAGGUAAUCGUUAAAACUAUAUUAUAAUUAUAAUAGAUAAUAAUAUAAUAACAUCGAAGUAAAUCUUAAAAUUUUCUAAAGUUGUAUUACAUAAUAUUAUAACUAUUCAUACCUAUUUAACACACAGGAAAAUAAAAUGAUAUUAUGUUUUUAAUAUUAUAAUUUGAAAACAAAAAUUAAUAUUAAAAAAAUAAAUAAAAAUAAAAUCAAUGAAAUUGACCGAUCAAAUUGUAAGUAGAAAAAAGAUUCAAUGUGUAGAAAUAAUUUAUAUAUUUAAAUUUUGUAUAUUAUAGAAUGAUAGAUCUUUGAAAGAGUAAUAUGUUGUUUUUAGUAGUUAUUUUAAAUAAUAAACUAAAAUAAUCAUGUCGUCCCAAUCAAUUGUAUACAUAUUUUUUUGGUAUAUUUUUUAAGAUUUUUUAAUAUAUAUUCUCUCUAUUUUGAAAUAUCGGUCGCUUCAUUUUUUGGCCCACACUUCUAAGUUUUUUGACCGCAUAGUAAAAAUUUUUAUUUUAAAAUUUUUAUUUAUUUUAAUAUAAUAAUGAUCAUAUAUUUUUAUUGAAAAAAAAUUUUAACGAUAGUGAUUUUAACAAUGGGGUCAAGAGACUUACAAGAGUGUGUCAAAAAAUCAAACGACUUAUAUUACAAAAAAGAGGGAGUAUAUUUUUGCAAUUUUUUUCAAAAUAAAAUUUUGAUAUUUAAACUUUUAUUUAAAAAUUUUAAAAUUUUUUAAUCUGAAUUAUAUGAAAUUGAACAUAAUUAAAUAUAUGUUAAUAUGUUAUACAGCCUACAGGCGUGAAUGAGGAAUAGUACGAUAGAGGAAUGAAUAUACUCCACAAGUCCACGGACAAAAACAAGACAGGGAUAUGUAUGUAAUUUGUGAUUACUGCACAAAGCAAAUUAUCACUGCAUUUAGCAAUCAUGAUAUAUUCUAAUCAACUCUUACUCCACCGAACUCAUAUCUGUUUAAUAAUUCAAAUUCGAGCGGCAAUAACUCUUCUAAGUAAUGCAGAUCAAAGGAGGUGGAGAUUCAAAAACAUCAAAAGUAAAGUUCAAAGCAACAGCAUAAAGAGCUACUAUCACACGUUUUCCGGUUCUCAAACAUUUCUAGCAAUAAAACAUAACCCUCUUCACAUUUUCUUUAAGAGCGGGCAAGGGCCUCACAGCUGCAUUAGCAUUUGCUGCCCUGGUGCUUCUUCCAACCCCCAUUCCUCCACGACCACCAGCAGCACCACUUGCCAUUGACUCACUAUCAGAUGUUUCAGGUUCCAUAUAGAAGCGAGCUCGAAAUGCUGCCAAGUGAGCAUAAUAUGCUGGAGGAACUGUAAAAAAAAACAUGACUCGUUAAAGCAAGUCGAGUAAAAUGACAACAAUCAGAUAAAAAUUCUGAAAUAGAACCAGUAAACAUCGCUACUCACCUAUUGAGACAGAUCUUGUGCACCUGGCAUAACUGCAAGACACACAAUGAAGCCAGUAAAAUGCAGUAACUUUAUAUAUUAAUUUUAAUAUGUUAUUCAUGAGCAAACAAUAAUAAAGGUGAACUUACGUGUAACAUAGAUUGUUAGUGAGGGACUGUAAUCCAUCUGCCGAGAACUUGUUCUCAUCCCAAAGAACAUGGUAAUGUGCUGGUCGGCUAGUUCCCUGUUGCAUAAAGGAAUAAUUAGAUCAGACAAUUGUCCUUGAGUCCCCCUCAUUUUGUCCAUAAACCACUUAAAAAUCAACAUGAAUCAUUUACUUGGAUGCCAGCAUGGCUGCAAAGGUAAAAGUCAAACUCCGUUGGGUGACAGAUCUUGGAAUCCACAACAGUCCCUGUUAUUUCACAAGCAGAGAAACACUCUUAAUACUGAUACAGUGUGUAUAACAAUAUAGAUCAAGAUGAAAGGAAAAACAAAGGAAUACCGGGCAAAAUAUUUCCACUCCUAUCAACUGAAUUACGGUCGCGAUGAUUGUUGGCAAACAACCUAGUGUGAUGGCGUUUCUGAACCACAACAAAUGUAACCGGAGGCUGAUAGUUUGGCUCUAAUGAAGCACAAGCCUGUUUUAUAAGUUCAAGCCAUGAAAAAUGCAACAGAUAUAUUAGGUUGGACAUCAUGAGUCGCACAUUUAAACAAAAAAAAAAAGUACAGAUAAUAGUACAAUUAUAUUAGAGGACCAAAAUUUUAGAGAAACAAAGAUACCACCUUGCGAAUUGCAUCAAGUUCAUACAGAAGAACUUGAUAGAACUGCCCCUCACUAACACCAUCCCUGCAGUUUGCUCAUCAUUAGGACACGACAAUUACAAGUACCAUACAAGCUCACUAUAACACUGAGUAAUUAAUAGAUACCUAUAGAAUAUAAUGCGCUGGGGUUUCUGUCCAGUUGAUCUGCGGAAUGAAAUAAGGAGUUCCCUAUAGCACAGAAACAAAACUGAUACUGUAAAGAGCUUGAUUUAAAAAUUACCAUAAACAGUACACAUAGGUCUAUUAUCAUUUAUUAUUCAGUCAGAUAAGAGGUUGGGAGAGGAACAUACUUGAUCAUGCCGCCUGAUACAGUUCCUCUGUUUGGAUCCUGCCAGCUCUUGUACAGAUCCUGAAUAAGCUCUUGUCUGUGGGCUUGAGCACAAACCAAUCCAGCAUACUUUGUUAUCUCUGGCCAAUCUUGUGAAGCAACCACCUGAAUUUUAUAUAACAAAUCUCAUAUCAACUUUAAGCAACAAUAGAUUAUAAGACAUUAAAAAUAAACACAUAAUCCUGUCAAAUACAGGCAAAUCAUAUUAACACGUGCAAACAUUAACUAAAGUACGUAUAAGCAGUUCUACAAAAUUUUAUAUCAUACUGCUGCAAUCGAGGGGCUGGAAUCUUCUCCAGGAUGAGGAUGGGUGACGUCAGCACCAAAAAUGAUUGUAGGGCGGUCACUGACAAGUGGAAUACGCCUCGAUAAAGCAUCAACAAGAACUGUAUUUCUUCCCCCGACUUUGACGUUAAUCUUUAAAGCCACAUUCGCUAGGUAUUGCUUGCUCAUCUUGAAGACAUGUUUUGUCAAGCAACACUGUGAAACUAUUCCAAGGUCGGUCUCACAAAUUCUCUUUAAAUCGCCUUCAUGAAUAGUCAAAAACAGCGAUCAGUGAGACAGAUACCAUUACACAGAAGUGUGAAUGCAAGCAAAACCACGGAUAGACAAUCACACACACAGUCAAUAUAAGCACUGGACCUUUACAAUCAUCAUAAUAAGAAUAUUGAAAAAAGUUUACGUACCAUAUAGUGAGCCAUUAUUAUCUGGAAGAAUGACAAUCAAUAGGUCAAGCUCCUUCUUCAGUUUCUGUACCUCUUGAAAACGUGAUUUUAACACUCUCUCCACCUGAUCAGUGUGUGCGCCGGUAACUGGAAGCACCGGAUUGGGAUUGAACCGCUACACAGGAAAAUAUAGUUCAGUUUUAGUUCAUAUACUUGCCAAUAUGUCGAUAACAUCAACACAAACAGAGGUCUUCCGAUAUAUACCAUUCCCGAUAUUGUGCACAUCUGUGCGAGUUCUGAACAAAACCCGCUAGCCAAAUUAUCUUGAACAUUUCGUGCAAAGUUCACACACAUCCAAUUAUUAACAAUUCCUCCAUCAACCAUUUUCUGAAGCAAACAUUAAUAAAUUAGAACAAAACGGUACACGGUGUGCAACUUUUAAUCAGUGUUUGUUGUACUGUUCCAUACAGGAACAAAUGCAAUGCCCUGACUUCAAAGGAACAGAUUCAAGCAAUAUUGUCAAUUACAUUUUUAUUCUUCAAUAAAAAAGGAUAAAAAUCACGAUCACAGAAUGCCAAUGUAAUUGCAGUCUGCGUCGCCUACACUACCAUAUCAGAAAUACAAAACUUGCCUUGUUCAUCAUAUUCCACUGGCCAACUUGGGGUAGACAUCGUGUCUCACGUCCAGUCUCAUGGUAUUUUAGCUGGCACAAUAAUGACUCAUUCACUAAACCAACCAAAACAAUUCGUCUUUCGGUAUAUGACUACAAAAAACUAAAUGAAGAUAUAUAUUAAGUGAAUACCCAUGGUGGAGAGAGAAUUCUGGCUUCUACAGAGGCUAGUUUGUCACUAAUUUUGAUACCAAACUCCUUCGCAUAGGGAUCAUCAGCGUAUGCAUUGUGCUGAACAGUCUGAAUAACAGGCACAGUAGAGAGAGUACAACAUGAGUGCUGACUUGUAUUAUUAAGUUUUUAAAAACAAAAGACCUGACUGAACCACAUACAUUAGUAGACCAAGUUAAAAUCAAGUCACAUGCAUAUACAAAAGAUAGAACAUUACAAGUCAACUCAGAAGCACAAAUCAAAUGAACAUCUAGCAAGCGACAAAGUACAAGACAGCUCCCAAACACCAAAACAAUACAUUACUGCAAAAUACAGAAGAACUUCUGCAUUAACUAACCCGUAGAAUGUCGGCCUCCCUGUCACUAGGACGUUGACAAGUAACUUUAAGCAAUGCAGUGAUUUGCCUCUCGUUUAAUCUUUUUGAGUACCUCUGCCCCUCCACAAUUUUGCAAACCUGGACCAAUAAUUACAUGAGUACACCUGUAGCUUGAAAAAAUUAGAAGUAGAGAGCUAAAAGCACAAACCUCCAUGGGCAGAUAAUUUGGCCUUCGCUGGUUACCGACUUCCAGGCAAGGUAAUUGAGUUUGCUUGAGGAUAACAUCAUAAGUCUCGCGGAAAUACUCAACCACAGCUUUCAUUGUACCUCUUUCAUCAACUGGAAACCUAAAAUGUAGGAAAAACAGUACCAUGUCAUCCAAGGCAAACAUAACACCAGUGACUAUUACCAAAGUUGGAGAAAAUGCAAGUAACUCAUACGUGAGCCCCCUGGUCGCCUGUGAUGUUAAACCAGAAAUACAAUACUUCCUGCGCAUUGUUCCACGGUGCAAAACCUCAACCUUCACUCCCUUCAAGGCCUUUCUGAUCUGGCAUGCAAAGGGAAGAAUUAAAAUUGAUACCAUCAGCACAAUGUGAACAGAAGAAAGCUGAACAUUAUACAGAGCAAACCACAAAAUAAAAUAAGACGCACUAACAGGAGAUACUUAAAGAGGAAUAUAUUUAGGCCUAAGGGGGAAACAUAAUUCAUAAAAAGACACAGAGGACAAGAUAUACUUGUUUAUACUGUAUAUCCAAUCCAAGCUGCAGUACAACACAAGAUAAUGCAUAAUUUACAUCACACCAUAUUCAGGAACAAUAUCCUUUUUGCUCAUAAAAUGGAAGCAUUAUUAUGCAUGAAUAUAUUAAACUUCAAAACACCAAUAGACACCACAACUCCCGAACUUUUGCUAUACAGCACCCAUACAUUGUGAAAUACUAAUGAUAAUACAUAAAAACACCAAUGACAACCUAUGUUAGGAUCUACCAGUAAUAGACUGUAUAUGUAAAUUUUGACUAAUAGUAAUCUAAAUAAUAAAGUGUUAUCUAGCAAGUAGUAGGCAGAAUAAUGAAAUUAGACCUUCACACGAUCAGCAUCUGACAGUGGCCUGGACGAAACGUCCCUAUUCAACAGCUGUGAGGCAAACUCGAUAACAGGAAGAGGCUCAAUAAAUGCAGUCGAGGACAUAUCUGUAGCAUGAAAGUCAUCUUUCAUUGUCAAUACAAAAGGACAUUAUGGAAAAAGAAUUCGCUGAUGAUCAUGUGAUUGAUGAUAACAUUAAAAAAACAGAACUAAAAUAAACGAAACAAAACACAUACCAAUAUUAAGAGACAAUCCCAUCUGCGUAGGGCGUAUACUUUGAUAAAAGCCUCUCCAGCUUUCCAAGCCUUCACCCAGUGGCUGCCUUUGUCGAAUAUCAGCUGAAUAAAAUGAGCGCCCCACAGGGGAAUACCUAUCACAUAAAAGCCGAAUAAUUAUUACAAAUUGCUGUACAUUGUAUCUAUACACAUACAUCAAUAAUUCUACAUAAAAACACAUGAGUAUUGAUGUGAAUAUUCAUAUAGCCUUUACCUGGCAGUAGGCAAUUCCCUCAGAACAAUGUCCAACACCUGCAAAGCUUCUUGGGGCGCGUCAGCCUGACUGCCCUUUAAAAACAUUUCCAGGUGGUGCAGGUCAGCUCGAGAAGCUAAUUUGAUUACAACUUGGAAGUCCCUUUCUCUUCUGCAUAUAAGACAGCCAGUAUUCAAUUGUUAAAUCAACACUUACUUGAAGAUUUACGAACCUAUGAUUAAUGCAAGGAGGCAAUCCAGAAUAUACCUGGCACCACCUGACCCGUCAUCUUCGUCGGUCAGAACUAUUUUGAACUCCUUGUUGACAAAAGGAAGAGGCCCUGCUGUAUACAAACUCUUUCUACCAUCAUACGCAGGGAGACGCUUCCCAAGAUGAGAUUCUCUAUACAGUUUGACAAGCUGUUCCAUCACAGCACGAUUGACACCACGUGAACCGACUUCAGGGGAGAUUGUUACCUAAAUAUGAAGACCGGAUCUAUUGGAUGAGAAGAUUGCACUACAGCAACGAUAUAUAAAAUUAUUUUUACACACACACACACAAAGCAAAUAAUGCAAAUGAACGUCAGUUCUUGGUGAAGAGUUCAUAUUCCGGACUGGAGGAAUUUAAGAAAAAUUUCUAGGUAACAAACGAUGCAAGCACCUACUUCAGAGGUUUCAUUUAAUAUUAAAGACAAUAAGAGUAAGACAUAUAAUAAGUAUAUAACAAAACAAGAGUACAUUCAAUCACACUCACAUCAUACUGAUGCAAAUCCUUAUCAGGCAACUCUGCAAAGAAAUGGUUGGCCUUUACAACGAUACGAGAACCAGUGCUACCCCUGCCUGGACGGAGUGGAAAUCUAAGAGCCUUGCUAGAAACAGGAUUAGGCUGAGUAUCCCCGAUAGAUGAGGAUUCAGACUUCAAAGAAAUAUGCUGAAGCUGCUGCGUCACUUGCGAAGAUGAUGCUUCAACUGCACUAACAGAAGAGCUACCUUCUGACUGUGUCACUUCAGCCGGUAUAAUGCGGGGCAUGGGAUGAGUCGAUACCCCUGCUUGAGGUGGAGCCUGGGAAGCUUGGUGCAGCUCGGGGACUGAUGGCCUAGCACCAGCAGAAGGUACAAAUCCUCCACGACCACCACCAGCUACGCCACCGCCACGGUGUUGGGGCAAUGGUCCACGUGGUUGCUGCUGUUGGGCACCCCUGCCUUGCUGCUGAUAAAGAGAUUCACCAGUAUACUGCUGAGAAGCCAUACCACCCCGCGGGCCACCGCGUCCACCUUCAUAUCCUCCACGUCCUUGGUAUCCUCCUCCCUGUUGUGGGGCAAAGCCUCUACCACCUGGACCCUGCUGCUGUGGGGCAAAGCCUCUACCUCCAAGAACCUGCUGCUGUUGGGGAAAGCCUCUACCUCCUGGUCCUUGCUGCUGUUGUGGAUAGACUUGAGGUGCACCUCGUCCUUGCUGCUGUGGAGGGUGUUGAGGUGCACCCUGUCCAGCAUUAGAAUCCUGAGGCUCCGAGCUCUCUCCCCCACCAGCCUGGUCAGUUCUCCUCUUUCUUACCAUGAUGGUCACUACAUCCAGUGAAUACAAAGAGCAACAUUGAUUAUUUGAACUUACAAACGUUAUGUUAUGUAACAAUACUCAAAGACCCAACUGCUAUUGACAGGCAACGACAAGCAAAACCUGAGAAACCAACCACAUAGAAUUUGGCAGAAUGUACAUUUAAGACAGUAAUCUAAAUAAAUCCUUAACAUCAUAAUUUCAAACUUAUAAAAACAGAAAGAACAGCCAUAUACGGGGGUACGGACAGUUAUUAAGACCCUCCUUAAAAUAUUAGUACACAAAAAACAACGGCAACAGAUACAUUUGUACAAUAAUAGAUAGAUAUAUGGGCAUUAAAACAAUAAACCAUGUAAGCCAUCAAAGUAAGGAAUUGGUUGUGCAUAUGCAAGUAAAUAACCUAACCUAAAUACUUCCCUUCAACUUUAUAAAAAAAAUAUAGAAAAAUGGUCAAAUCGCAUUGAAGAUGUAAAAAGAACAACAAAAUUAAAAUUUCAUAAUAUGAUUAAACAAACACCUCAAAUCAAUACAGAUCUAAGCAAAUAAACUGUAAAAAACAUACAAAUCAACUAGAUCUAACUAAAAGAAAUACAAUCGGUAAAAAUUAACGAGAUACAACCGAAAAACAAUGUAUAGUCUAUUUAAAAAAGGGGGCACAGGAGACCAGUAAUGGACAUCUCAUAAAAUGAUUACACCAAUACCUCAAAUCAAUACAGAUCUAAGCUAAUACGCUGUGAUAAACCUAAAAAUCAACUAGAUCAUCCAACUACGCAUAUACAAUUGGUAAAAAUUAAUGAGAGUAACCAAAAACAAUGUAAAAGCUAGUUAAAAAAGGGAGGAUGGGAUACCAGUAAAUGCACGUCAACCACUCUUUGAUGGAAAAAUACUAUAUCUACCAACCGCACUACAGAGCCGCACACCCGCUACCUACAAUCCUAUAUCUAUAUUAUACUAUUAAAGCCGGAACAAUUAAAGUUUUGAUUGGUUGGUUGGUCGGUCAGUAUUUGGGCCGGUUAUGGGCCUCUUUAUUUUAUAAAAUGUUUUAAUGAGUUUUUUUUAUUAUAACUAAAACACAUUUAAACAUUCGCUUAAAACAUAUCUCUCGGGCCUGUUUAUUUUUAAGUCUUUUAACGGGCCUAAGUAUCAAAAUUUAUUUAACAUGACCAAUAAAAAUACAUUAACCCAAAGAGGCCUAUUAAAAUUUAAUAAUCUUUUAGUUAAAAUAUGUAUAUUAUUACAACAUAAAUGUCUCUUCGAAAUAAAACAAAAUAUUAUAACAUACCCGUGCAUCGUACGGGCUAUAAGCUAAUAUAUAUGUGAAGUGUAUUACCAAACAACAGGUCUACUACUUUGUUUUAUUUAUCAGAUUAGAGGGUCGGAAAUGAACAUACUUGAUUAUGCCACCUCUCAUAGUCCCUCUUUUUGGAUCCUCCCAGCUCUUGUAAAGAUCCUGGAUAAGCUCUUGUCCAUGUGCUUGGGUACAAACCAAACCAGCAUACUUUGUUAGAUCUGGCCAAUCCUGGGAGGCAACAACCUGGAUUUCAUACAACAGAACUUGUAUCAAGAUUAUGAAACAAUAAUAGAUAAUAACAUUUUAAUAUUUAAAUAGAGGCGACAACACAUAUUGUCACGUGAAAACAUUGAACGAAGUGUGUAUAAGUAGCUCUUAAAAACUUCAUAUCAUACUGCUGCAAUUGAGUAGAUAGAACCUUCUCCAGGAUGAGGAUGGAUGACAUCAGCACCAAAGAUAAUCGUAGGACGUUCGCGAAAAAGAGAAUGUGGAUGUAGACCCUGCACCUGAGGGUGUGGAGGAUGCUGAAGAACAUUUUGUCUGGCACCAGAAUCCUGGUGCUCUGAGUUCUCUCCCUCACCCGGAAGUUCAGUUAACCUCCUUUCUGCCCUGAUGAUAACUGUGUCCAGUGAAUACAUAUGGCAAAAUUAAAUUAUAGGGAUUACAAAAUGAUAAUGACAACAGUAAGACAAAGCACUAUUAGAUACAGCCAUACAGGUGAUAGCCGGCAAUAAUAUGAGAAAACACACGUAACUUGACAGAGCUUCCAAUAAAGUCAGCAAGCUAAUUAAAUACACAAAAACUAAAUAUUCUCCCUGCACGAGUAAUCAACUCUCAUUCAUAUGUAAGACAAGCAUAAGGAGCUUGCAACUCUAAUACGUAAACUGAACACCCAAACACACACAAGUUGUAUACACAAAAAGAUAGUUUUAAUAAUCAAACAUGUAUACAAUCCCUUGCACCAAUUUUAACACUAGAAUGUUUAAAACUUAACAGCUUCAAGAAUUAAAACAAUAAAUAGCAAUAAAUCAAGAUCAAAAUCAGAAAAUAUGUUUUACAUGCACUAACUUGACUAUCAAAAAUCCCUAACAUCAUAAUUUCAAACUUAUAUAUACAGAAAGAACAGCCAUAUAUGGAGUAUGGACAUUUAUUAAGACCCUCCUUAAAAUAUUAGUACACAAAAAACAAUGGCAAAAGAUACAUAUGUACAAUAAUAGAUAGAUAUAUGAGUAUUAAUGUGAGCCAUCAAAGUAAAGAAUUGGUUGUGCAAGUAGAUAUCCUAAACUUAAUACUUCCCUUCAACUUUAUAAAAAAAAAUAUGAAAAAAAUGGCCAAAUCGCAUUGAAGAGUAAAAAGAACAACAAAUUUAAAUUUUUAUAUAAUAAUUAAACGAAAACCUCAAAUCAAUACAGCUCUGAGCAAAUACACUAUAAAAAACAUACAAAUCAACUAGAUCUAGCUAAAAGAAAUACAAUCGGUAAAAAUUAACAAGAUACAACCGAAAACAAUGUAAAAUUUAUUUUAAAAAGGGAGCAUAACAGACCAGUAAUGUAAAUCUCAUAAAAUGAUUAAACUAAUACCUCAAAUCAAUACAGAUCUAAGCAAAUAAGCUGUGAUAAACCAAAAAAUCAACUAGCUCAUCCAACUAGACAUAUACAAUGGGUAAAAAUUAAUGAGAGUAACCGAAAACAACGUAAAAGCUGGUUAAAAAUUGGAGGAUGGGAAACCAGUAAAUGCACGUCGACCACUCGUUGAUGGAAAAAUACUAUAUCUACCAACCGCACUACAGAGCCGUACACCCGCCUAGUUAUUUUAUAACAUGUUUUAAUGUGUUUUUUAAUCAUAACUAAAACACAUUUAAACAUUCGUCUUAAAACAUAUCUCUCGGGCCUAUUUAUUUUUAAGUCUUUGAACGGGCCUAAUUAUCAAAAAUUAUUUAACAUGCCCAAUAAAAAUUCAUUAACCCGAAGAGGCCUAUUAUAAUUUAAUAAUCUUUUAGUUAAAAUAUGUAUAUUAUUCCAUAUAAAUGUAUCUUCAAAACAAAAUAAAAUAUUAUAACAUAUAUAACAAAAGAGAAAAUAAUUCAAGUCACCCGUGCAUCGUACGGGCUAUAAGCUAAUAUCUACGUGAAGUUGUAUUAUAUGUAGUACUAAUUAAAUUGUAGAGCCUCUAGAAUUAUCAACCACCAAAAUGGCUUGUUUGGGAACCUGGAUUUCAUUUGAUAUUUUGGAUUUGAUCAAAUAACCUGUUUGAGAAUUUGAAUUUGGAUUUCAUUUCACAUUCAAAUAUUAGUAUAAAUUUGAGAAAUUGAAAUUACAACUCAAAUCAUGUCAUUUGAAAUCCAUCGUUUCAAAUGAAAUGCAUGUUUCCAAACGGCCCCUAAGAUUAAUUAGAAAUGAGUGGCUUAGAUAUUAAAUAACUGAACGGCAAACUAGUAUAUAUUACUACAGUGGGACUGCUUGUGAUUAAAGUGAUGUUACAUGACAAAGUAGUUGGUUAAGUCUUGAUUUCGAGUAUAGCUUUGUGUAUUGCAAUUAAGCUUAUCAGAAUAGGUUGUCAGAAUAUGAUGAUGAUGGAUACUAGGCAGUAGAACGUAGUGUAUUUGUUUUGAGUAUAAUGAUAUUUGUGGGACUAGUUGUAGUAGAGAAUGUAAAGGACAAUGUCCCUAUGAAUGUAGCAAUACAGAAUCUUUGUAUACAACUCUAAGCACAUGGUACAGCACUAAAUUAGUCACAUGGCUAUGCUCAAAACUGGUACUUCAUUUUACAUAUGAAAUCAGUUGAUAUGGCAACUUAAAGCAUGCAACAGUUUUCAAAUAUUAGUGUACUACACACUAGAACAUAGAUUUAUCUAAAACAUUAGUGCCCAAUGGAAGGAUAGCCUACUAAAAGACUAGAAUUUGAACUGUCUAUAUUAAAAGAAACCACAGAGUUUG